GUGCUUGCUUCAGCAGCACAUAUACUAAAACUGGGACUAUAUAGAGAAGAUUAUUAGCAUGGCCCUUGUGCAAGGAUGACAUGCAAAUUCGUGAAGCUUUCCAUAUUUAA
Small nuclear RNA from Myotis lucifugus (little brown bat), 110 nucleotides. The record is from Ensembl. Lineage: Eukaryota; Metazoa; Chordata; Mammalia; Chiroptera; Vespertilionidae.